Molecule: ribosomal RNA, 598 nt
Filed under: Salmonella enterica subsp. enterica
Lineage: Bacteria; Pseudomonadati; Pseudomonadota; Gammaproteobacteria; Enterobacterales; Enterobacteriaceae
Description: bacterial SSU rRNA
Rfam family: Bacterial small subunit ribosomal RNA
Source: RNAcentral
AAAUUGAAGAGUUUGAUCAUGGCUCAGAUUGAACGCUGGCGGCAGGCCUAACACAUGCAAGUCGAACGGUAACAGGAAGCAGCUUGCUGCUUUGCUGACGAGUGGCGGACGGGUGAGUAAUGUCUGGGAAACUGCCUGAUGGAGGGGGAUAACUACUGGAAACGGUGGCUAAUACCGCAUAACGUCGCAAGACCAAAGAGGGGGACCUUCGGGCCUCUUGCCAUCAGAUGUGCCCAGAUGGGAUUAGCUUGUUGGUGAGGUAACGGCUCACCAAGGCGACGAUCCCUAGCUGGUCUGAGAGGAUGAGCAGCCACACUGGAACUGAGACACGGUCCAGACUCCUACGGGAGGCAGCAGUGGGGAAUAUUGCACAAUGGGCGCAAGCCUGAUGCAGCCAUGCCGCGUGUAUGAAGAAGGCCUUCGGGUUGUAAAGUACUUUCAGCGGGGAGGAAGGUGUUGUGGUUAAUAACCGCAGCAAUUGACGUUACCCGCAGAAGAAGCACCGGCUAACUCCGUGCCAGCAGCCGCGGUAAUACGGAGGGUGCAAGCGUUAAUCGGAAUUACUGGGCGUAAAGCGCACGCAGGCGGUCUGUCAAGU